GAUCAGUUUAGAGUGCACUAAAAGCAGAUAUUGUUGAAGCAUUAGUUUGCACUAGAGAUUGGUUAUAUGGCGAGGAGCAAGAAACACAAGAAGAAGUUAAAUUGGACGAGUUAACUGAAGAUGUAAUGGAGUUGGAGAACAACAAGGGCAAGGGCUUAGAGGACGCUCCACCUCAUUCUUCAACUUCUAGAUUUGUUUAGAUUUGUGUUUUUAAUUUUUAUUAUAUUUGGGAUUGUAACAUUAAUAUAUUUACUAUGUGUGUUUUGUUUAUUAUAUUUGAGAUGUAAUUUUAAUAUAUUGUUACAAUGUGUGUG
Molecule: long non-coding RNA, 314 nt
Organism: Juglans microcarpa x Juglans regia
Lineage: Eukaryota; Viridiplantae; Streptophyta; Magnoliopsida; Fagales; Juglandaceae
Exons: 2
Source: RefSeq, a predicted model, not a curated record